AACGCACAUUGCGCCCUUUGGUAUUCCGAAGGGCAUGCCUGUUCGAGCGUCAUUUUCACCCCUCAAGCCCCCGGCUUGGUGUUGGACGGCAUGGUCAGGCGACUGACCCCUCCUAAAGACAAUGACGGCGGCCUAGUUCGACCCCCGGUACACUGAGCUUCUUAACCGAGCACGUACCGGACCCUCGCGGUCGACGGGACCCGGUCUCCAUAACCCUUUAAUUUACAAGGUUGACCUCGGAUCAGGUAGGGAUACCCGCUGAACUUAA
This 268-nucleotide unclassified non-coding RNA is filed under the name uncultured fungus. Its description in RNAcentral is "partial contains 5.8S ribosomal RNA, internal transcribed spacer 2, and large subunit ribosomal RNA". The stretch from base 1 to 52 matches the Rfam family "5.8S ribosomal RNA", at positions 103 to 154 of the family's 154-position model. The record is from RNAcentral. Lineage: Eukaryota; Fungi.